Molecule: ribosomal RNA, 566 nt
Filed under: uncultured bacterium
Lineage: Bacteria
Description: bacterial SSU rRNA
Rfam family: Bacterial small subunit ribosomal RNA
Source: RNAcentral
AAGGGGCAGUAAUGCAUGGGUAUCUACCCGGGGAUCGGGCAUAGCCUGUAGAGAUACAGGGUAAUUCCCGGUGAUGUCGCAAGACCAAAGCUCCGGCGUCCCUGGAGGAGCCCAUGUGAUAUUAGCUAGUUGGUGGGGUAACGGCCCACCAAGGCGAAGAUGUCUAGCGGGUGUGAGAGCACGACCCGCGCCACUGGCACUGAGACACUGGCCAGACACCUACGGGUGGCUGCAGUCGAGGAUCUUCGGCAAUGGGCGCAAGCCUGACCGAGCGAGGCCGCGUGGGCGAUGAAGGCCUUCGGGUUGUAAAGCCCUGUCGAGGGGGAGAAAAGCCGAAAGGUAUGAUCUAUCCCUGGAGGAAGCACGGGCUAAGUUCGUGCCAGCAGCCGCGGUAAGACGAACCGUGCGAACGUUGUUCGGAAUCACUGGGCUUAAAGGGCGCGUAGGCGGGCUAUCAAGUCCGGGGUGAAAUCCUCCAGCUUAACUGGAGAAUGGCCUCGGAUACUGAUGGUCUCGAGGAGGAUAGGGGCACACGGAACUGUGGGUGGAGCGGUGAAAUGCGUUGA